Molecule: ribosomal RNA, 433 nt
Filed under: uncultured bacterium
Lineage: Bacteria
Description: partial 16S ribosomal RNA
Rfam family: Bacterial small subunit ribosomal RNA
Source: RNAcentral
AACGAACGCUGGCGGCAGGCCUAACACAUGCAAGUCGAGCGCGCCCUUCGGGGUGAGCGGCGGACGGGUGAGUAACGCGUGGGAACGUGCCCUUUUCUACGGAAUAGCCUCGGGAAACUGAGAGUAAUACCGUAUACGCCCUUUGGGGGAAAGAUUUAUCGGAAAAGGAUCGGCCCGCGUUGGAUUAGGUAGUUGGUGGGGUAAUGGCCUACCAAGCCGACGAUCCAUAGCUGGUUUGAGAGGAUGAUCAGCCACACUGGGACUGAGACACGGCCCAGACUCCUACGGGAAGCAGCAGUGGGGAAUCUUAGACAAUGGGGGCAACCCUGAUCUAGCCAUGCCGCGUGAGUGAUGAAGGCCUUAGGGUUGUAAAGCUCUUUCAGCUGGGAAGAUAAUGACGGUACCAGCAGAAGAAGCCCCGGCUAACUCCGUG